Molecule: ribosomal RNA, 512 nt
Filed under: uncultured bacterium
Lineage: Bacteria
Description: partial 16S ribosomal RNA
Rfam family: Bacterial small subunit ribosomal RNA
Source: RNAcentral
GAUGAACGCUGGCGGCGUGCCUAAUACAUGCAAGUCGAACGAAACUUCUUUAUCACCGAGUGCUUGCACUCACCGAUAAAGAGUUGAGUGGCGAACGGGUGAGUAACACGUGGGCAACCUGCCCAAAAGAGGGGGAUAACACUUGGAAACAGGUGCUAAUACCGCAUAACCAUAGUUACCGCAUGGUAACUAUGUAAAAGGUGGCUAUACUACCGCUUUUGGAUGGGCCCGCGGCGCAUUAGCUAGUUGGUAGGGUAAAGGCUUACCAAGGCAAUGAUGCGUAGCCGAAUUGAGAGGUUGAUCGGCCACAUUGGGACUGAGACACGGCCCAAACUCCUACGGGAGGCAGCAGUAGGGAAUCUUCCACAAUGGGCGAAAGCCUGAUGGAGCAACGCCGCGUGGGUGAAGAAGGUCUUCGGAUCGUAAAACCCUGUUGUUAGAGAAGAUAGUGCGUGAGAGUAACUGUUCACGUUUCGACGGUAUCUAACCAGAAAGCCACGGCUAACUACGUG